This 494-nucleotide ribosomal RNA is filed under the name uncultured bacterium. Its description in RNAcentral is "partial 16S ribosomal RNA". It matches the Rfam family "Bacterial small subunit ribosomal RNA", at positions 28 to 507 of the family's 1533-position model. The record is from RNAcentral.
GACGAACGCUGGCGGCGUGCUUAACACAUGCAAGUCGAACGGUGAAGCGCCUUCCUUUUUGGUGGGUGUGGAUGAGUGGCGAACGGGUGAGUAACACGUGAGUAACCUGCCCCCUUCUUCUGGAUAACCGCAUGAAAGUGUGGCUAAUACGGGAUAUUCUGGGUCUGUCGCAUGAUGGGUCUGGGAAAGAUAUUGUUUCGGUGGGGGAUGGGCUCGCGGCCUAUCAGCUUGUUGGUGGGGUGAUGGCCUACCAAGGCGGUGACGGGUAGCCGGCCUGGGAGGGUGGACGGUCACACUGGGACGGAGACACGGCCCAGACUCCUACGGGAGGCAGCAGUGGGGAAUAUUGCACAAUGGGCGCAAGCCUGAUGCAGCGACGCCGCGUGAGGGAUGGAGGCCUUCGGGUUGUGAACCUCUUUCGCCAGUGAAGCAGGCCUGCCUCGUUUGUGGGUGGGUUGACGGUAGCUGGAUAAGAAGCGCCGGCUAACUACGUG